This 205-nucleotide unclassified non-coding RNA is filed under the name Hevea brasiliensis (rubber tree). The record is from RNAcentral. Lineage: Eukaryota; Viridiplantae; Streptophyta; Magnoliopsida; Malpighiales; Euphorbiaceae.
UUUGCCCAGUCUGUAAGACUGAACCAGUGUCUCGAGGAUAGAGCUUGGUAUUCUUCAUUAUCUUCCACAUGGUGUAUAGAUUUUACCAUUAUACAUAAUCAUGAAUUCAUUCAUUGGUGUGAAGCUUCAAAUUACCUUGUUGAAAUGAUACCCAUUUUCUGAGUAAUUUAGCAGUUAAUACGUUGAAAUUACAGUACUGGAAUUU